Molecule: non-coding RNA, 131 nt
Organism: Entelurus aequoreus (snake pipefish)
Lineage: Eukaryota; Metazoa; Chordata; Actinopteri; Syngnathiformes; Syngnathidae
Product: small Cajal body-specific RNA 8
Exons: 1
Source: RefSeq, a predicted model, not a curated record
CGGGAGGCAGAUACUUGGACAGUUCUAAGCAGUGGUCUGUCCAUCACUGGUCCUCCCCAUAGCAUCCCUGCUCUCUGAUGACUGUGGUGAAUUGAGAGAAAUCACUACAGACAGAUACGGAGCAGACACUG